GGGAAGGUGGCUCAGUGGUAGAGUGCUUGCCUUGCAUGCAUGAGACCCUGGGUUCAAUUCCUCAUCACCA
Molecule: transfer RNA, 70 nt
Filed under: Dipodomys ordii (Ord's kangaroo rat)
Lineage: Eukaryota; Metazoa; Chordata; Mammalia; Rodentia; Heteromyidae
Rfam family: tRNA
About the family: Transfer RNA (tRNA) molecules are approximately 80 nucleotides in length.
Source: Rfam by way of RNAcentral